ACAUGCAAGUCGAGGGGCAUCAGGAAGAAAGCUUGCUUUCUUUGCUGGCGACCGGCGCACGGGUGAGUAACACGUAUCCAACCUGCCCUUUACUCGGGGAUAGCCUUUCGAAAGAAAGAUUAAUACCCGAUGGCAUAAUGAUUCCGCAUGGUUUGAUUAUUAAAGGAUUCCGGUAAAGGAUGGGGAUGCGUUCCAUUAGGUUGUUGGUGAGGUAACGGCUCACCAAGCCUUCGAUGGAUAGGGGUUCUGAGAGGAAGGUCCCCCACAUUGGAACUGAGACACGGUCCAAACCCCUACGGGAGGCAGCAGUGAGGAAUAUUGGUCAAUGGGCGCUAGCCUGAACCAGCCAAGUAGCGUGAAGGAUGAAGGCUCUAUGGGUCGUAAACUUCUUUUAUAUAAGAAUAAAGUGCAGUAUGUAUACUGUUUUGUAUGUAUUAUAUGAAUAAGGAUCGGCUAACUCCGUGCCAGCAGCCGCGGUAAUACGGAGGAUCCGAGCGUUAUCCGGAUUUAUUGGGUUUAAAGGGAGCGUAGGUGGACUGGUAAGUCAGUUGUGAAAGUUUGCGGCUCAACCGUAAAAUUGCAGUUGAUACUGUCAGUCUUGAGUACAGUAGAGGUGGGCGGAAUUCGUGGUGUAGCGGUGAAAUGCUUAGAUAUCACGAAGAACUCCGAUUGCGAAGGCAGCUCACUGGACUGCAACUGACACUGAUGCUCGAAAGUGUGGGUAUCAAACAGGAUUAGAUACCCUGGUAGUCCACACAGUAAACGAUGAAUACUCGCUGUUUGCGAUAUACAGUAAGCGGCCAAGCGAAAGCAUUAAGUAUUCCACCUGGGGAGUACGCCGGCAACGGUGAAACUCAAAGGAAUUGACGGGGGCCCGCACAAGCGGAGGAACAUGUGGUUUAAUUCGAUGAUACGCGAGGAACCUUACCCGGGCUUAAAUUGCAGUGGAAUGAUGUGGAAACAUGUCAGUGAGCAAUCACCGCUGUGAAGGUGCUGCAUGGUUGUCGUCAGCUCGUGCCGUGAGGUGUCGGCUUAAGUGCCAUAACGAGCGCAACCCUUAUCUUUAGUUACUAACAGGUCAUGCUGAGGACUCUAGAGAGACUGCCGUCGUAAGAUGUGAGGAAGGUGGGGAUGACGUCAAAUCAGCACGGCCCUUACGUCCGGGGCUACACACGUGUUACAAUGGGGGGUACAGAAGGCAGCUAGCGGGUGACCGUAUGCUAAUCCCAAAAUCCUCUCUCAGUUCGGAUCGAAGUCUGCAACCCGACUUCGUGAAGCUGGAUUCGCUAGUAAUCGCGCAUCAGCCACGGCGCGGUGAAUACGUUCCCGGGCCUUGUACACACCGCCCGUCAAGCCAUGGGAGCCGGGGGUACCUGAAGUACGUAACCGCAAGGAUCGUCCUAGGGUAAAACUGGUGACUGGGGCUAAGUC
Molecule: ribosomal RNA, 1431 nt
Filed under: uncultured organism
Description: 16S ribosomal RNA
Rfam family: Bacterial small subunit ribosomal RNA
Source: RNAcentral